This 253-nucleotide ribosomal RNA is filed under the name uncultured prokaryote. RNAcentral's name for it is "partial 16S ribosomal RNA". It matches the Rfam family "Bacterial small subunit ribosomal RNA", at positions 524 to 776 of the family's 1533-position model. The record is from RNAcentral.
GACAGAGGGUGCAAACGUUGCUCGGAUUUACUGGGCGUAAAGCGCGUGUAGGCGGAUUGGUAAGUCAGAUGUGAAAUCCCUGGGCUCAACCCAGGAACUGCACCUGAAACUGCCUGUCUGGAGUAGUGGAGAGGAGAGCGGAAUUCCUGGUGUAGAGGUGAAAUUCGUAGAUAUCAGGAGGAACACCGGUGGCGAAGGCGGCUCUCUGGACACUUACUGACGCUGAGACGCGAAAGCGUGGGGAGCAAACAGG